CGGGAAGUGGCUCAGUUUGGCUAGAGCGCCUGCUUUGGGAGCAGGAGGCCGGCGGUUCAAGUCCGCCCUUCCCGA
Molecule: transfer RNA, 75 nt
Filed under: Candidatus Omnitrophota bacterium
Lineage: Bacteria; Pseudomonadati; Candidatus Omnitrophota
Description: Candidatus Omnitrophica bacterium tRNA-Pro
Rfam family: tRNA
About the family: Transfer RNA (tRNA) molecules are approximately 80 nucleotides in length. Their secondary structure includes four short double-helical elements and three loops (D, anti-codon, and T loops). Further hydrogen bonds mediate the characteristic L-shaped molecular structure. tRNAs have two regions of fundamental functional importance: the anti-codon, which is responsible for specific mRNA codon recognition, and the 3' end, to which the tRNAs corresponding amino acid is attached (by aminoacyl-tRNA synthetases). tRNAs cope with the degeneracy of the genetic code in two manners: having more than one tRNA (with a specific anti-codon) for a particular amino acid; and 'wobble' base-pairing, i.e. permitting non-standard base-pairing at the 3rd anti-codon position.
Source: RNAcentral